This 253-nucleotide ribosomal RNA is filed under the name uncultured bacterium. RNAcentral's name for it is "partial 16S ribosomal RNA". It matches the Rfam family "Bacterial small subunit ribosomal RNA", at positions 524 to 776 of the family's 1533-position model. The record is from RNAcentral.
UACGUAGGUUGCAAGCGUUGUCCGGAUUUACUGGGUGUAAAGGGCGUGUAGGCGGAGCUGCAAGUCAGAUGUGAAAUCCCGGGGCUCAACCCCGGAACUGCAUUUGAAACUGUAGCCCUUGAGUAUCGGAGAGGCAAGCGGAAUUCCUAGUGUAGCGGUGAAAUGCGUAGAUAUUAGGAGGAACACCAGUGGCGAAGGCGGCUUGCUGGACGACAACUGACGCUGAGGCGCGAAAGCGUGGGGAGCAAACAGG